RNAcentral lists this ribosomal RNA (1088 nucleotides) under uncultured crenarchaeote. RNAcentral describes it as "bacterial SSU rRNA". It matches the Rfam family "Archaeal small subunit ribosomal RNA", at positions 21 to 903 of the family's 1478-position model. Lineage: Archaea; Thermoproteati; Thermoproteota. The record is from RNAcentral.
CCCUACUGCUAUCGGGGUGGGACUAAAACAUGCAAGUCGAGCGUCUCCAAGCUAUGGUGGAGGCGCGGCGUACGGCUCAGUAACACGUGGCUAACCUACCCUUGGGGCGGGAACACCCCCGGGAAACCACGCGCAGACCUUGACGACAUAAACACAAAUUCUCAAAAAUCCAAAAACCCCAUAACAUAAACAAAUACUUUACUACACCGCCUUGCCGAUUUCUAAGCUGGCAAAGGCUACCUUAAACUAACCAAAACUCGCACAUAACUUUCUAAGAAUAGAAACUUAAGGCUCUGGCGUAGCCCAAAACUGGGGUUAAUUCCCGAUGGGUGAGGAGGCCUGGAAUGGUUCUUCACUGAAAGGGCGCUAGGGGCAUGCUCUCUAACGUUGCCCAAGGAUGGGGCCGCGGCCGAUCAGGUUGUUGGUGAGGUAACGGCUUACCAAGCCUAUAACCGGUACGGGCCGCGAGAGCGGAAGCCCGGAGAUGGGCACUGAGAUAAGGGCCCAGGCCCUACGGGGCGCAGCAGUUGCGAAAACUCCGCAAUGCACGAAAGUGUGACGGGCUACCCCGAGUGCCGUCCGCUGAGGAUGGCUUUUCUCCGCUGUAAGGAGGCGGAGGAAUAAGGAGAGGGCAAGACUGGUGUCAGCCGCCGCGGUAAUACCAGCUCUCCGAGUGGUAGGGAUGAUUAUUGGGCUUAAAGCGUCCGUAGCCGGCCUGGCAAGUCUUCCGUUAAAUCCAGCAACCUAAUUGUUGGGCUGCGGGGGAUACUGUUAGGCUAGGGGGCGGGAGAGGCCGACGGUAUUCUCGGGGUAGGGGUGAAAUCUUAUAAUCCCGAGAGGACCACCAGUGGCGAAGGCUGUCGGCUAGCACGCGCCUGACGGUGAGGGACGAAAGCUGGGGGAGCGAACCGGAUUAGAUACCCGGGUAGUCCCUGCUGUAAACGAUGCGAGCUAGGUGUUGGGGCGGCUACGAGCCGCUUCAGUGCCGCAGCGAAGGCGUUAAGCUCGCCGCCUGGGGAGUACGGCCGCAAGGCUGAAACUUAAAGGAAUUGGCGGGGGAGCACCACAAGGCGUGAAGCUUGCGGCUC